This 263-nucleotide long non-coding RNA is filed under the name Ricinus communis (castor bean). RNAcentral's name for it is "long non-coding RNA (RCOM_LNC002529)". Lineage: Eukaryota; Viridiplantae; Streptophyta; Magnoliopsida; Malpighiales; Euphorbiaceae. The record is from RNAcentral.
UUCCGGCGGCCUUGUUGGCUGAUCUUGGUGGCGAUCGACUCCCCUCAGCGAGAGCUUUCUUUUGGCGGCAACGGCGACACCAAUGGUGGCCGAAAACGGAAGUUCGCGGUGAAGAGAGAAAGUAGGGGCAGCCAGUGUUUUUGGGCUUUUCCGGUGAGCUCCGGCAAGGGAUGGAUGAUCGAAGGACCUAUCCCGAUUCUCCUCAGCUCAAGCUUCGCAGUGACACCGGUUUCGUGGCGAUCGGACUCCGUUUGCAAAUCGAC